GGAAUCCCUAGUAAUCGCGCGUCAUCAACGCGCGGUGAAUACGUCCCCGCUCCUUGCACACACCGCCCGUCGCUCCAUCCGAGUGGGGCCUAGAUGAGGCGUAGUCGUGUUGGCUGCGUCGAAUCUAGGCUCCGCGAGGAGGGAGAAGUCGUAACAAGGUGGCCGUAGGGGAACCUGCGGCCGGAUCACCUCCUAA
Molecule: ribosomal RNA, 196 nt
Filed under: Candidatus Bathyarchaeota archaeon
Lineage: Archaea; Thermoproteati; Candidatus Bathyarchaeota
Description: partial 16S ribosomal RNA
Rfam family: Archaeal small subunit ribosomal RNA
Source: RNAcentral